GAAGAAAAAGAAGAAGAAGCAAAAUCAUAAAUUAACCGGUUACACACACACAUGUAUGUGUAUGUUGUUCAAACUAUAACAACAAAUAAAAUUAUUUUUUUAUAAAAACAACGCCUUAAUAGUUUUUCCUAAAUUUUAUGUUUUUUUUCGCUUGUUCGUUAGUUUGUUUUGAUUUUAGUAAUAAUAUUUAACUUAUAUUUUUGUUUAAUAUUUUAUAAAAUUUAUAAAAAAAACAAAGUAAAAGAACGAAAAAAACGUAAACGAAAACGUGAGCAAAGAGAAAUAACACCGACAGGGUGACAAUGAAACUAUUAAAUCAUCAAGGACAAAGUAGUUAAAAUAGUUAAAAAUAAAAGUAGUUACAGUAGUUAUAGUAGUUAAACAAAAAAGUACCUAAAUAAAAAAUGAAAUCAACAUUACAAAAAUUGAAAAUGCCCCCUCCUAAACUGAAAUCGCUGCCACCGAAAACGAAAUCACAAAUAAAUAAACCUAGUGCAGAGCCAGAAAAAUCUAACGGACUAUCAACAAAACCUAAUGCAUUACCAACUAAACCUAAUGCAUUACCACCCAAAUUUAAUGUAUUACCAACUAAACCUAAUGCAUUACCAACUAAACCUAAUGCAUUACCACCCAAACUUAAUACAUUACCACCCAAACUUAAUACAUUACCACCCAAACUUAAUGUAUUACCACCCAAACCUAAUGUACUACCAGCCAAACAAAAUGAAACAGAAACAAAACUACCACAACCAGUGACAAUGCAAAAAAUGAAUCUCCCAAAGACUAACAUUAAAACGAUGCCACCGAAAUCUAAACCCAUAACAGCAACACAAGAAAAAAUACCAAAUGGAAAAGUGCCAGAAUCAAAAGUUAAUUUAAAAAAUACACUCAUAGAAGAUAUAUCGAAUUUUAAUAAAAAAGCAUCACUUAAUUUAGUUAAAAAUGGAGUAGAUAAUGUAAUGAAAACAGUUCCUACAGGAAAAAAUACAUUUUUAGAAAAAAUAAUUUCGCCUAUUUUAAAAAAUGAAUAUGUCAUACCUAAAUCUAGUAACACUACAGUUAAAAAAUCAGCACCUACAUUUUUAGAAAUUGGAACAAUGUUAAAUAGUUUAACAUCAACUAGUUCUAAAGAGUUGAAUGAUUUUUCUAUGAAAAAAAAAAUGUUAUUAACAGAAAAUGCAAAAUCAAUUAAUAAUGAAAAUAUAACAAAUGAUUCAAGUAAUGUGAUAAAAAAACACUCAAAUAUUGAUUUACCUUGCUUAAAUUUGAAUGAUAAUAAAACUGAAUCUACUACUAAUAAUAAUUUUAUGAAAGAUAAUAAUAAUAAUGUUAUGAUUGCAAUAGGAGGUAGAGAAAACAAUAUAGGACCUUUAUCAACUUAUAAAGAUAGUAACUUAAUUCAAAAUAUGCAUUAUAUAAAUGCAUUUUCCAGAACUAAUGGUAAUUAUAUAGGUAAAGUUACAGGCCCACCCCCUACUUCUCUUACUUCUUUAGAUAAAAUACCACAAAAUAAUAAUGAAAAAAGAUAUUUUAAUAAUAAUAUAAAUAAUAUGUUUCAGAAUCCUAAUUAUAAUGCAUUGGAAUCACCUUUUAAUAAUUAUCCAUAUAUACCUAAUUUACCUUUUUAUAAUGAUUCUUAUAUUAUGGAAAAUACAAAUGAACAAAACACAACACUACCCUUCCCUUGUUACCCUGGGUUAUAUUAUGUACCUGUAUAUGUAUGUGAUCCGACAAUGAACAAUUAUGCAACGGGUGGUUUAUAUGAAACAGGGUAUGGGGUAGAGUGCCAAACUG
Long non-coding RNA from Piliocolobus tephrosceles (Ugandan red Colobus), 1794 nucleotides. Lineage: Eukaryota; Metazoa; Chordata; Mammalia; Primates; Cercopithecidae. The record is from Ensembl.